CGGCGACCAUUGAAACGGUUUCUUUCUUCCUCGCCAUCAUCCUGGCGAGGCCAAAAUCGGCGAUUCUGGCGUCGAGAUUCGCGUCGAGCAAGAUAUUGUUGGAUUUGAUGUCUCUGUGAAUCACCGGAGGAUGACAAUCAUGGUGGAGGUAAGCGAGGCCGUGAGCUACACCUAACGCGAUGUUGUAACGCGAAACCCAAUCAACGAGAAGUCUCCCGGCGGCGUUUUUGCCGUGAAUCGCAUCACCAAGGUUUCCGUUGAGCAUGAAUUCAUAUACGAUCAUCAUGUUUUUGUCGUUGUAUAAGAACCCUAGGAGCCUCACUAUGUUUCUGUGUCUCAAUUUCCCGAGGAGGUUAACUUCGCCUACGAAAUCUCCGGUGGUUCCAUCUUCAAUAUCCGCGGCAGAUCUCCAGAGCUUCUUCACGGCGAGAACUGUGCUUGAUCGUGACAUUUCUGCUUUGUACACGAUUCCGGUUGCUCCCAUUCCGAUCAUGUUUGAUUCUUUGAUACAUGCCAAGAUAUCGGAAGCUGUAAACCCUAAUCUAUGAAACGCCAUUAAUCUCCAAGGCCAUUCACCUUUGCUCGCCGUCUCGUCGCCGCAGAAUCCGUUAGAAUACCAUUUCUUGUACAGAGUUCUCGUAACAAUGGUGAGAAUCCCUAGAGCUAGAACCGAUGCUAUCCCAAUCAACCAUCCGGCGACAAUUCGUUUCCCGUGGAGGCUACUGUGACUCGAUGUUGCUCUUUGGAAUUUACUACACGGUGGUAGAACGCCGCCGCAGAGACCGGAGUUUCCUCUUAGAUCAUCUGGAUUUAUGGUUUUGAGAAAGCCGUUGAUAGGGACUGGACCUGUGAGCUUGUUGUAUGAGACGUUUAGGAGUUCCAGAGCUGGAGAUGUUCCGAUGCUCUCUGGUAGUACUCCGGUUAAGGAAUUGUUGGAGAGAUCUAGCACUGCUAAUGCAGACAUUGUCGUGAUCUGUCUAGGGAUUUCGCCGGUGAGGUUAUUAUUUCUUAGGUUGAGGCUUACGAGCUUCUCGCAUGAAGCAAUGCUUGAAGGGAUAGUGCCAGUGAGAGUGUUUGAUGAGAGAUCGAGAUUAGAGAGUGAAGGACAAUCCUGGAAUUGGUCUGGAACUUCGCCGGAGAUAAAGUUAUCGGCGACUAAAAACGCCUGUAGGUUGUGAAUUGAGAGGAUUGUGGAAGGGAGAGAUGAUCGGAUCUGGUUUCUUGAGAAAUCAAUGAAAGAAAGUGAAACUGAAUCGGAGAUGUCUCCAGGGAUCCCUCCGCUGAGACGAUUUCCGGCUAGUUCGAGUCUCUGUAGCUUCUCAAGCUUGCCAAAGCCGAUAGGAAUUGAUCCGUUUAGUAGAUUGUUCUGCAUUCUAACACGAACUAGUGAUUGGCAAGUGGAAAGAGUCGCUGGAAUCUGACCGGUGAAGGUGUUGUUGAAGAGAAUGAGCUUGGUUAGAUUUCCCUUGUUGCAUAGAGUUGAAGGAAUCUCGCCUGAGAAGGAGUUUGAAGAAACGUCAAGCCAUUGUAAUGGAGAAUUCUUCCCGAGAUCGCUUGGUAACUCGCCGGAGAGCGUGUUGUUCCAGAGCUCGAGGACUUGUAACUGUGCUAGACUGCUGAUGGCGGGAGGAAUGGAGCCUGAGAGUUUGUUGCGCAUCAGGUUCAGUAGCUGGAGGUUCUUGAGCUUUGUUAUCUCCAUUGGAAUCUCGCCGGUUAACGCAUUAUCGGAGAAAUCAAGAACCUUUAGCGUGGUAAUGCUUCCUAUCUCUCUUGGAAUUGUUCCGGUGAAGUUAUUCUCGUACAGGAGAAGCGUCUCGAGUGACUUGAGCUUCCCAAGCUCUGACGGAAUCUCACCACUGAGCUUUCCGAUGGCCAAAUCAAGGUACUUGAGGCUGUUUAUGUUUCCAAAUUCCGGUGGAAUCGGACCUUUGAAUUCGUUGUAACCAAGAAUGGCGGUUUCAAGUGAAGGGAGCUGGCCGAGAACGCUUGGUAACUCGCCGGUGAGAUUGUUUCCGGAUAAUCCGAGAAAUCUCAGCUUCUGUAGAUUCUUGAAUGAACUUGGAAGUGACCCUUGAAAGAAAUUCCCUCGGAGAUCAAGAACUUCUAAAGAGACUAAGUUCCCGAGAUCCUCCGUGAGAUUUCCGGAGAGAUUGUUCCCUGAAGCAUUGAGGUGAACAAGCCCAAGUGAUUCAUUGCUAAAUAGAAAAAGACUCCCUGAGAAUGAAUUCUGGCUGAUGUCAAUAGAUUUCAACGGAGGGAUUGAUUUCGGGAGCAGCGACUCGAAUCCGUUGCAUGAUAUGUUAAACGAGACAAGGCUACUCAGCUGGCUGAUCGAAUCUGAGAUUUUGCCUGUGAGAUUCAUCCCCGCCAGGUCGAGCUUCUCAACAUUGCCAUUUGAGUUGCACCGAACACCGGUCCAAUUACAGUGAUCGCUGGUGUCUGAAAGCUUCCAGUCUUUGAGAAAGUUGAGAGGAUCCACAAGAGUUGAUUUCACCGACAGCAAAACAGAGAGCUCGUUGACAUUGUCGAUGGAAGCUAAAACAGAGGAAGUAGAACCAAUGUAACAGUAGUAAAGGAAGAGAACUAUUAUCUUCAUCUUCAUCUUCAACUUCUUCCUCUGUCUCAACAGCUUCAACUGAAACUUGACUCCUUAGUUCAUUACCAAGAACGAGACUAGUGAACAUGCAAGGAGGUGGUGGAGGAAGAGAGUAGAAUAAGAAGAAACUCUGUAAGUAUAUGCUUG
This 2743-nucleotide long non-coding RNA is filed under the name Arabidopsis thaliana (thale cress). Its description in RNAcentral is "ncRNA (AT4G28652)". The record is from RNAcentral. Lineage: Eukaryota; Viridiplantae; Streptophyta; Magnoliopsida; Brassicales; Brassicaceae.